RNAcentral lists this ribosomal RNA (113 nucleotides) under Lepisosteus oculatus (spotted gar). Lineage: Eukaryota; Metazoa; Chordata; Actinopteri; Semionotiformes; Lepisosteidae. The record is from RNAcentral.
CCCAGCAGCCAUAUCACCCUCACAACUAGCAACCCACUGAACCUAAGCAGGUGUGAGCCUGGUCAGUACCUGGAUGGGAGACCUCCUGGGAAAAACAAAGGUUGCUGUUAGAA